RNAcentral lists this ribosomal RNA (465 nucleotides) under uncultured bacterium. RNAcentral describes it as "partial 16S ribosomal RNA". It matches the Rfam family "Bacterial small subunit ribosomal RNA", at positions 28 to 507 of the family's 1533-position model. The record is from RNAcentral.
GACGAACGCUGGCGGCGUGCUUAACACAUGCAAGUCGAACGGAAGGGCCCUGCUUGCUGGGUCUUCGGGGGGCGAAGGGGUGAGUAACAGGGGGGUAAUCUGCCCUCUACUUUGUGAUAAGCCUGGGAAACUGGGUCUAAUCCCGAAUAGGGCCCAUUUUUUGUGUGUGGGUUGGAAGGAUUUUUCGGUCUAGGAUGAUUUAGUGGCCUAUUAGCUUGUUGGCGGGGUAAUGGCCUACCAGGGCGGCGACGGGUAGCCGGCUUGAGGGGGUGGACGGCCACAUUAGGACUGGGAUACAGGCCAGACUCCUAAGGGAGGGAGAAGUGGGGAAUAUUGCACAAUGGGAGCAAGCCUGAUGCAGCGACGCCGCGUGGGGGAUGACGGCCUUCGGGUUGUAAAAUCCUUUCGCUAGGGACGAAGCUUUUUGUGACGGUACCUAGAUAAGAAGCACCGGCUAACUACGUG